AAACCAGGCAAGUGGAGACGAGAGCAGAAAGAAAGAGCAGCUUGCGCAAAGGCCCUGGGGGUGCAGUCUCUGCUCCUGCCCCGCUGACUUACUCCUAAGAAGAUGAACUGUGGUGUCUCCGUGACAUCAUUCACGCAGUGGCCACGGCUGUCCUUCCUGCCCGCUCUGCCUCUGCCCACUGGCCACAUCUCCUUCCAGCAUCUUCCAGACCCAGCAUUGCUCCAGGAAGCCACACCGAGAUCACUCCACCCCACAGGCCCUGUUGGGGUCUCUCCUGGGUUCCUCUAGUUUGCUCACUGUGCUGUAUUAAAACUUUGGGUUCCCCUCUCUCUCCCACCAAUGUUAAACUACUUCAGA
Molecule: long non-coding RNA, 357 nt
Filed under: Homo sapiens (human)
Lineage: Eukaryota; Metazoa; Chordata; Mammalia; Primates; Hominidae
Description: HSALNT0338452
Source: RNAcentral